UUCUGCCCCAGACAGUAGCGGCAGCCCCGAUUGAAAAACCGCUUUUUUACGGGAGUAGCAGAGCGACCGUAGGAAGCUCCUGCGACGACCUAGUAAAAAAAAGGUUUUGAGUGAGGGCUAUAGCGAAUGGCUGGAAUAGGC
This 141-nucleotide unclassified non-coding RNA is filed under the name Flavobacterium gillisiae. RNAcentral's name for it is "Flavo-1 RNA". Lineage: Bacteria; Pseudomonadati; Bacteroidota; Flavobacteriia; Flavobacteriales; Flavobacteriaceae. The record is from RNAcentral.